RNAcentral lists this non-coding RNA (93 nucleotides) under Pseudanabaena sp. RNAcentral's name for it is "c-di-GMP sequence". It matches the Rfam family "c-di-GMP-I riboswitch aptamer". From Rfam's summary of the family: GEMM was predicted in a large-scale screen for bacterial structured RNA regulatory elements. RNAcentral also lists the same sequence under 1 other name. The record is from RNAcentral. Lineage: Bacteria; Bacillati; Cyanobacteriota; Cyanophyceae; Pseudanabaenales; Pseudanabaenaceae.
CCCCGAAAAUGGCAACUGCUUUGAAAAGGGUAGGCGCAAAUCAAUAGUCCUAAACCACCUCUACAUUUGGCACGGACAGUUAUUGAUGCCGAA